CUUGUAGGUGCGUAUGCGCAUGCGCGGGAGCGGUGGAAACGGCGUCAACCAGUUACCCAGCCUCUAGUAUUGAACUCUGUCCUGAACCUUGAUCAGCAGUUGCGCACCUGUCUUUUGUUUUCGGCUUUCGUCCACUCCCCGCUUUUACAAAGUCCGUAACCAAGCCCCAGGCAGCACCUCCCUCCAGAGUUUUGUCUCAGAGGCGGCUGUUUUUCCUGACCCCUUACUUCUGAGGGACUGCGGCUUUGACCCGUUCCACCCCUCUGCAUGAGGGUCUCACCGAGCAAUGGACGGGUGCCUGCCGCACCCAGGAACGUUUGCGGGACCAUGCUGCUGCCGAAGACCAGAGACUUGACACCAGGUGCCAUCCCGCCCCAGAAAAAGUUCACGAGAUAGUGUAGCAGCAGCGUUUCAGGGAUUAUGGAAAAUCACAACACAUCUGGCAUCAGGCUUCAACCCCAACGACCUUGUUCCAGCGCCAGCGAAUGUGGUUGUUCUCCAGAGUCCACUGGGGCCUUGCCUUUGGGGCACCCACACAGCCUCCACCAGGUGUCCCCUGCUGGGAAGCAGGGAAACCGCCUCUCCCCGUGUGGCCUGAAGAACCCCGGACCCCACUCUGCUCCUGGGGAUUCACCUUUCUCACCAGAGCACCGCCAGAUGAGAACGCUGAGGCCAGAGAGGCUACGCACCUGAACUAAUUGAUAGAGCCAGGAUUUACUGCUCCUUCUGACUGAACGCAGCAAUGACUGUUCCUUACCCUCUUCUCUAGGAGCCAUCUUUGCCAAGUGAGCCUCCAUAAACUAUAAUGAAGUGAAAUGCAAUUUUCAUUUUAUUAUGCGUUUACAGAUACGCUUUUUCUUUACAGCCACUUUUACCGAUAACGCAAAUCACACAAAUAAAUCUGUUGGGAGCAGCUGGUGACUCACGGCUAUCUUUCGUGUCUAGCGUGGCUGACAAUAAGCUGUGCUUGGCCCAUGAGGGAGGACUUGGGGCUUCAUUGUGUGCCACAAGGCAGUGUCCGACAUUGCAACGUGUGGUUUUCCUUUCAUAGGUUCAAUCCAGUCUCUAUUUCUUUUUCUUUUCUUUUUUUUCUUUUUUUGAGGUAGGAAUUAGGGACAAGUCAAGGCAAGCGGAGAGCCAGCUUCCAUAAAGAUACCAUAGAAUGAAGGUGCUGGAUUUGUCUGGAAAUAAUUUGGAAUGGGGAUUAAUGAGACAAGGAGGCCGAAGAUUAAAAUGAAAAGGUCUAUUGGGCCUGAUUGUUAACAGUCUUGAUUGUCAGGUUCAGGGAUUUGGGGGUUGCCUGGUAGCAGUGAAGAGCAGUUGGAGAUGUUUAAGACGAAAAAGUCAUUAAUGAACUCUGAGAUUUGGACCACCUGGGUCGCAGAGCAGAGGACGGAGGGAAGGUAGAUGGCCUGGAGACAGGGAGACCCAUUGAAACAGGAGUCUGAUGGCUCACCUUAGGCACUCUGAAGACCUGGAUGAAAGCUUGGGCAAAGGGCAUGGAGAAGGGAUAUAUAUGUAUAUGUUCAAAAGAUGCUUUGCAAGUAGUAUGUUGGGGGAGGGGACAGCAGCCCACUGGUUGCUGUAUACAGGUGGCAGAUCAGGAAGAAGGUUCAAGGAUAGCUCAGGGUCUCUAGACCGGAGAUGACAAUAAGAUUUCAUCUCCAAUGUCCAGAGGAUUCAGAGGUGGAGAGCUGGCUCAGUGAUCUUGCCACAGGCGCAGGAAAAGCCAGGGCAGCUGGGUAUUUAUCAUCCUUUUCAGACUAAAUGAGUGGUUUGCCAUGGAGUAGCCCUUUAUCUUUGAAGUGAAGUCAUCUUAUUGUCCAAUAAUGAUGAUUUUGUCGGUCACCUUCAGCAUGAGCACUAAAGAUCAGAACAUGCAACAAAAUAAUACAGAACCCACACGUAAUCAGCUGCGAGGCUGAGCUAAAAGAUUAGCAUCGUGGAAUACCAAAAACAUUAACAGAAUAAGAAAAUGCAUUUACAGACAAGGGUACAAGUAAACUUUUUCAGGUAAUGUAAAUGUGAGAAAGCUAAUAGAGGAGUCCAAAUUCCUCCAGAUGUUUUUGAAAAAUUGACUCGAAAACUCUCUUUAAAAGUAUAGACCCAUGCUAUUGUUUUGCUCACCUCCUCUUCACCUCAUUGCGGGGGGAGAGAGAACCUUGCCCUAGGGUUCUGGAGAGAGCGGAAUACGUGACACUGGACAGAACAGAGGAUAUUGACAGCAGUUUAUUAGACCCACAUACAUACAGCUUGGGGGAGGGGGAUACCACAUGCCACACGGAGCCACAUAGGGAUUGCACCGGGGAGCAAAGGGAAGCCGCAGGGGCUGUGGGAGGAGCUUCAUAGUAGCAAGAAAGUGAGGUGACUUCCGGUUCCCAGAGGAGGAUGUGAUUGGCUUGUUGAGGACCAGGUGGAGCGCAGCUGGUCUGGCUGCCGGGGCAACUAGCUUUGGGAGCCUUUCCCACUGGGUGGCAAGAGCAGGGGAACUCCUACUCAGGACUUGGGGGCCCCCGUGAGGCUCAAAGACGUCAAGGCAGCACAUGAAACGUUAGGACUUAGAACAUAGCUAUCUAGUACACUAGCCACUGGCCACAUGUAGCUAUUGAACAUCUGAAAUGUGACUAAUCUGAGCUGAGAUGUGUUGUAUGUGUAAAAUACACACCAGAUGUUAAGGACUGAAUACAAAAAAAAAGAAUGUAAAACUAUCUCAUUUUGUGUUAUUGAUUGUAUGUUGGAAUGACAGUAAUGUGGGUGUAUUUUAGGGUUAAGUAAAAUAUAUUACUGAAAUUCAUUUUA
Felis catus (domestic cat) is the source of this 2799-nucleotide long non-coding RNA. RefSeq lists it as uncharacterized. The record is from RefSeq and is a predicted model, not a curated record. The transcript has 2 exons. NCBI's taxonomy places the organism in Eukaryota, Metazoa, Chordata, Mammalia, Carnivora, Felidae.